Molecule: long non-coding RNA, 1187 nt
Organism: Brassica napus (rape)
Lineage: Eukaryota; Viridiplantae; Streptophyta; Magnoliopsida; Brassicales; Brassicaceae
Exons: 3
Source: RefSeq, a predicted model, not a curated record
AAGGAUUUUCAAAGUUGGGGGGGGGGGGGGGGGGGGGGGGAAGCGAAAAAGUUCAUUUCAUCUCUUUCACGAGUUUUCGGCGACUCCUUUGGCGAUUCAGGUUGCGACGAAGCUCUCUGAGACCAAGUUCCAUUGAUUUCUCCACAGUCUCUCCGUUCUCCAUUCAUCUCUCUGGUCGUCUCUCGUCUCCACUUCUCCUCCGUCCGUUCUCCACUUCUCCUCUGUUCUCCACUUCUCGGAGAAGUCUUCUCCUCCGUCCGUUCUCCACUUCUCUUACGACAACUACAGGACGUCUCUAAGAAGCUAGUUGGAGCAUUGUAUUAUUAUAAGGACGUCUUUGUGUUGUAGUCUGGAAAGAACAGCCUCGGUGAUGAACUGUACAAACUGUUGGCCGUGGAAUCCAACACAGUAGAUGAUAUUAUCACAUCUCUCAAGCUGGGGACCGAACAUAGUGCACUGUAGACAGUUAACAAGUUAGAAACUGCUAUAUUCUCAUGGAAAGAAAGGCUUACAGAGCAAGCCAGCAACAGUAAAUCACCUGUCAGGAUACCGUGGUCAUUCACUAGAGAUCCAUUGUAUGAAAGUGAGUCACUCUUGAACCGAGCAGAAGCGCUUAGAAAUCAGAUCAAAUCCAAAUACCCUAAUCGUCCUAACUCGUUUCUUUAUGCCACAAAGAUUCAGUAUGGCAAGGACAUUGGUCAUGCGGUUCUUGAGGCAUAUUCAAGAACAAUUGCGAAUUUGGCGUACAGAAUACUCUCAAGAAUGGGAGAAAUAUUGAAGAAGAUGCUGCAAGUAACCCUAACUCUCCAGCGCCACCGAGUUUUUUCCAUAGCUCCCGAGAUCUUUAUAGAACACCUGAGAGGCCUUUGCUUUCGUCUCGUGUAAGACAUUCUCUCACAGAUGACUUGAACAAAGCCGAUGGGAGAGAGACCGGUUUAGUUUUUUUGUAUGGAGAUGCUAAGGUCACUACAACUCCAAGUAGAAGCAGUAGAUUAUGGUAUACUAGGAUCAGCCCACCCCACGGGCGUGAUAUACUUUAGUUGUGAUCUAAGUUAUUAUUUUUUUGUAUGACUUUGUGGUUUAUGUUUUAGGUUUGUAUUUGCAAGAGAUAUGUAUGAUACUGAUUUUUGUCUUUUGAAAAGUUUUAGCUGAGGAGGAAUUAUAUAUGAUAAAAUAUAUUUCGCUUA